AUUGAACGCUGGCGGCAGGCUUAACACAUGCAAGUCGGACGAGUGGCGGACGGGUGAGUAACAUAUCGGAAAGUACCUAGUAAAGGGGGAUAACUACUGGAAACAUUAGCUAAUACCGCAUACCAUUCGAGCGGCCGAUAUCUGAUUAGCUGGUUGGUGGGGUAAAGGCUGACCAAGGCGACGAUCAGUAGCGGGUCUGAGAGGAUGAUCCGCCACACUGGAACUGAGACACGGCCCAGACUCCUACGGGAGGCAGCAGUGGGGAAUUUUGGACAAUGGGCGCAAGCCUGAUGCAGCCAUGCCGCGUGUCUGAAGAAGGCCUUCGGGUUGUAAAGUACUUUUGUCGGGGAAGCGGUACCAGAAGAAUAAGCACCGGCUAACUACGUGCCAGCAGCCGCGGUAAUAC
This 406-nucleotide ribosomal RNA is filed under the name uncultured bacterium. Its description in RNAcentral is "partial 16S ribosomal RNA". It matches the Rfam family "Bacterial small subunit ribosomal RNA", at positions 30 to 526 of the family's 1533-position model. The record is from RNAcentral.